UGGGGAAUAUUGGACAAUGGGCGCAAGCCUGAUCCAGCAAUGCCGCGUGUGUGAAGAAGGCCUUCGGGUUGUAAAGCACUUUUAUCAGGAGCGAAACGCUGUCGGCUAAUACCCGGCGGAACUGGCGGUACCUGAGGAAUAAGCACCGGCUAACUUCGUGCCAGCAGCCGCGGUAAUACGAAGGGUGCAAGCGUUAAUCGGAAUUACUGGGCGUAAAGCGUGCGUAGGCGGUUUCUUAAGUCUGCUGUGAAAUCCCCGGGCUCAACCUGGGAAUGGCAGUGGAUACUGGGAGGCUAGAGUGUGUCAGAGGGUGGUGGAAUUCCCGGUGUAGCGGUGAAAUGCGUAGAGAUCGGGAGGAACAUCAGUGGCGAAGGCGGCCACCUGGGACAACACUGACGCUGAGGCACGAAAGCGUGGGGAGCAAACAGGAUUAGAUACCCUGGUAGUCCACGCCCUAAACGAUGCGAACUGGAUGUUGGUCUCAACUCGGAGAUCAGUGUCGAAGCUAACGCGUUAAGUUCGCCGCCUGGGGAGUACGGUCGCAAGACUGAAACUC
This 556-nucleotide ribosomal RNA is filed under the name uncultured bacterium. RNAcentral describes it as "partial 16S ribosomal RNA". It matches the Rfam family "Bacterial small subunit ribosomal RNA", at positions 355 to 902 of the family's 1533-position model. The record is from RNAcentral.